UGAACCAGCCAAGUAGCGUGCAGGAUGACGGCCCUAUGGGUUGUAAACUGCUUUUAUAAGGGAAUAAAGUGAGUCUCGUGAGACUUUUUGCAUGUACCUUAUGAAUAAGGACCGGCUAAUUCCGUGCCAGCAGCCGCGGUAAUACGGAAGGUCCGGGCGUUAUCCGGAUUUAUUGGGUUUAAAGGGAGCGUAGGCCGGAGAUUAAGCGUGUUGUGAAAUGUAGACGCUCAACGUCUGCACUGCAGCGCGAACUGGUUUCCUUGAGUACGCACAAAGUGGGCGGAAUUCGUGGUGUAGCGGUGAAAUGCUUAGAUAUCACGAAGAACUCCGAUUGCGAAGGCAGCUCACUGGAGCGCAACUGACGCUGAAGCUCGAAAGUGCGGGUAUCGAACAGGAUUAGAUACCCUGGUAGUCCGCACGGUAAACGAUGGAUGCCCGCUGUUGGUCUGAAUAGGUCAGCGGCCAAGCGAAAGCAUUAAGCAUUCCACCUGGGGAGUACGCCGGCAACGGUGAAACUCAAAGGAAUUGACGGGGGCCCGCACAAGCGGAGGAACAUGUGGUUUAAUUCGAUGAUACGCGAGGAACCUUACCCGGGCUUGAAUUGCAGAGGAAGGAUUUGGAGACAAUGACGCCCUUCGGGGCCUCUGUGAAGGUGCUGCAUGGUUGUCGUCAGCUCGUGCCGUGAGGUGUCGGCUUAAGUGCCAUAACGAGCGCAACCCCUCUCCUUAGUUGCCAUCAGGUCAAGCUGGGCACUCUGGGGACACUGCCACCGUAAGGUGUGAGGAAGGUGGGGAUGACGUCAAAUCAGCA
This 810-nucleotide ribosomal RNA is filed under the name human gut metagenome. RNAcentral describes it as "bacterial SSU rRNA". It matches the Rfam family "Bacterial small subunit ribosomal RNA", at positions 384 to 1195 of the family's 1533-position model. The record is from RNAcentral.